ACCCUCGUAGCUCAGAUGGAAGAGCUCUAGUCUUCGAAACUAGGAUGGGUAGGUUCGAGUCCUACCGAGGGUGCCA
Molecule: transfer RNA, 76 nt
Filed under: Aliikangiella marina
Lineage: Bacteria; Pseudomonadati; Pseudomonadota; Gammaproteobacteria; Oceanospirillales; Pleioneaceae
Description: tRNA-Arg
Rfam family: tRNA
About the family: Transfer RNA (tRNA) molecules are approximately 80 nucleotides in length. Their secondary structure includes four short double-helical elements and three loops (D, anti-codon, and T loops).
Source: RNAcentral